AGCAAGCGUUGUUCGGAUUUACUGGGCGUAAAGGGCGCGUAGGCGGCCAGCACAAGUCAGUUGUGAAAUCUCCGAGCUUAACUCGGAAAGGUCAACUGAUACUGUGCGGCUAGAGUGCGGAAGGGGCAACUGGAAUUCUUGGUGUAGCGGUGAAAUGCGUAGAUAUCAAGAGGAACACCUGCGGCGAAGGCGGGUUGCUGGGCCGACACUGACGCUGAGGCGCGAAAGCCAGGGGAGCGAACGGG
Molecule: ribosomal RNA, 245 nt
Filed under: uncultured bacterium
Lineage: Bacteria
Description: partial 16S ribosomal RNA
Rfam family: Bacterial small subunit ribosomal RNA
Source: RNAcentral